Scylla paramamosain (green mud crab) is the source of this 6931-nucleotide RNA transcript. RefSeq lists it as uncharacterized. The record is from RefSeq and is a predicted model, not a curated record. Lineage: Eukaryota; Metazoa; Arthropoda; Malacostraca; Decapoda; Portunidae. The transcript has 15 exons.
GAUGCCUUCCAUAACGUGUAAAGUAAGAAGUUAGCCUGUGUUAAAAAGUGGUGAUCCCUGCAGAUUACCAAGGCAUCCAGUCUCCCAGCAAGUGCCAAGAGGCAUUCAUUCAAUGCUCCGCUGACACCAAUUUGCCCAAAGAAUAUUUAUGUGGGAGACUCCUCAGAUUGUGGAGACCCCAGAUUGUGGAGGCUCCUGGGCAGCUGGUCUUGUUGUGGACUCCUAAAUCUGGCACUGAACAAAAUUCUCUCUCUCUCUCUCUCUCUCUCUCUCUCUCUCUCUCUCUCUCUCUCUCUCUCUCUCUCUCUCUCUCUCUCUCUCUCUCUCUCUCUCUCUCUCUCUCUCUCUCUCUCUCUCUCUCUCUCUCUCUCUCUCUCUCUCUCUCUCUCUCUCUCUCUCUCUCUCUCUCUCUCUCUCUCUCUCUCUCUCUCUCUCUCUCUCUCUCUCUCUCUCUCUCUCUCUCAACUCUCAACCACUGGAUGGUAUAUCAGUUCACACAGCAAGAAGCCAAGGACCCACCGAGGCUGUCACUUGGAAGAGGUCAUUGUUGUUGCAUCCAGCAUCCCAGCCUGACUGCCUAGACAGGUCCCGCAGGUUGCUGAAUGGCAGAGGUGCAGGCUGCUCCACAGCAAGAUGUGAGACCAGUGUGGCAGAGUAUGAUGUGUACACAAUGAGGGACACACUGUAGCCAACCCAGUAGAUUACCCGUGCUGCAGUGCUGAUUGGGUCCUCACCUUGUUGUAGGAGAGCUGACAACAUGUACCAGCCAGCAGCAACUCCCAUGCUAACAGGCUUCUCCCCCGUGGGUAUGUAGCACCUCUGGAGUCGCUCGAUGAAGAAGAGGAUGCUGGCGAGGCCUGUCGUGUUAGCCGGGAUGCGCCGGUACAGAGCUGUGUCCGUUGGGGUUGUGUAGGCAAGCAUCUUCUUGGCAAGGUCCUCGUAGGUGGCCGCAAACAGUUUACGGCUGUGGGAUGAGAACUUGUCUUGUGAAUGUGACGUUGGGAGGAGGGAAGCACAGGGGAGGAGGAGGACGAGGAGGAAGAGAGUGAAGAGUCACAAGAGGAGGAGGAAGGUGGAAAGAAAGAGGAAGGAGAGGAGGAGGAGGAGGAGGAGGAAGAUGGAGAAGGAAAGGAGAAAGAUAAGAAGGAAGGCAAUGUAGAAUGGAGGCGUCCUUGGUUUAUGUUCAGUAAAGCCCCGUAUUCUUGUCAUGGCAAUGUAGAAUGGAGGCGUCCUUGGUUUAUGUUCAGUAAAGCCCUGUAUUCUUGUCAUGGCAAUGUAGAAUGGAGACGUCAUUGGUCACAUACUGUUCUAAUGUAAUCUAAUGUAAUCUAAUGGAAUCAUGAAGGUGUAAAAAUGCAGGAUAUGGACAUCAUCAGCUUUUGUCAUUAAGGGUGGUAAAGUGAAAGAUUUGUUAAUCACUUUGGUCUUUAGUUGAUGCUUCUGGUGAGGCUUUCCUGUUUAAACUUGGCAUAAUAUAUAUAAAAUGAUGUGGCAUGUUAAACAAGUUAACUUACUGCCUUCUUGUGUCUUUCACAGAUAGAAAUCAAAAACGUCACAAGACAGAAUAGUGAGCUGCAUGCACUUAUCACAGAGUAUAAAGUCACUCCCUCAGAGGAAAAAGACAAGGAUGGCAUGUCUUCAUGUGAGAACUCAGAAGCUAAAUGUACAGAUACCAAGGGGAAAUUGCUGGGUCAAGUGGCUACACUGACAUCUGAGGUUAGCAGGUUGGAGAGUGAGUGCAGCAGUCUUCAGGUUCAGCUAGACUGUGAGAGGGAUAAGUAUAACAAACUGCUGGGAGAAUCUCUUGCUCAUGAAAAGUUGUCUGAAGAUGUCAUAACUGAACCAAAAGGAGAAACAACAGGAUUGGGAGGAACUGAGCUUUAACAGAAGCUGCAACAACUGCAGGAGGCUCACAGGGUCCUGGAGAGCAGGUUAACUUGCAGCAUGAAGGAGGUGGCUGAGCUGAGUGACAGGAAGUAGCAGCUUGAGCAUGCUGUAGUGCAUGAGGAGACAGAGUCCAUCGGUGUGUGCAUGUUUUUUGCUCAUUUGAAUCAUCUGUAAAAGUGAAGUGGAGGAAGUGUUUACUGUUUACUGUAUGCCAUUUCCUUGGUCUUUUAAUGAAGAAUUUUAUCCUUCUUCAGGUGACUACAUCACCAUCUACCAGUUGCAGCGAGGAGUGAUGAAGCAACAAGCUCGAGAACGCGAGUUAGACCUUGCCAGCCUCCUUCAUGAAUGAGAGGAAAUGAAGCAAAACCACUCUGCAGGAUUUGAUAUCAAAGCUGGUGCAGGAAAAGGAAGCAGAUCAUGACCUUCAGCAGCUCGAGAAGAUAAGCAGCGUCCUUAAGAGUCCAGUUGCUAUCUUUAGCAGUGUUGGAACCAGUGAGUCUGAGACACCCACCAGCAGUGGAAAGCUGGCUGACGAGCGCCUCAAGCACUCUGAAAAGGUGGAGCAACAACAAGAAACAGAAAAUUGCAUCCAUCAUUCUUUGCCUGAGGAGGGAAUUGAUGCUCUGUUGACCCUUCACACUGAUGUCCCUCAUGAGGAGGCAGAAUAUGAAUCCUACAGAACUUGCCCAUAGAAAGACCAAAACUGUUACUGCUGCCACACUGCCACCACUUCCACUGACACCAAAAGCCCAACUGUGCAGAGAAUCCUGGACCUCCGCAAUGAAAUGGAGUCCACCAGUCACCUGGAGCACUUUAGCCUCCAAAAGUUCCAUCCGUGUCCAUUGUGUUUGGGUAAACUUAUCACUGUAUAAGGGGACAAGUAUCAGUGUAUGGUUACUAUAUACUCAUUUGUACUUAAAGAUGUCAUGUCACAUCAUUCUCUCUCUCUCUCUCUCUCUCUCUCUCUCUCUCUCUCUCUCUCUCUCUCUCUCUCUCUCUCUCUCUCUCUCUCUCUCUCUCUCUCUCUCUCUCUUUCUUUCUUUCUUUCUUUCUUUCUUUCUUUCUUUUGUUGCAUAUGUUACUGCUUUACAUUCCUCCCCACAGUAUUUUUUCAUCUACUUUAUGACUGCAGUAGUUUUAUCAUCCCAGUGUAUGCUGUAUCCACUCUGAAACUGUAAUUCACCAAUCAGCUCAAAUGUGUCUCUGUUUUGAUAAUCAUUAAUUUGUUUCAGCUACACAACCACUCUGAUAAGGGACAAAAUCUACUUCACCAGUCAUCUAUGUCAUACAGUCAUAUAUAUUCAUACAUAUGACAAAAUACUCUUCCUAAGACAUUUCUUAUUUUCUCUUCUCAAGUGACCUGUCCAUCUAUCUAAGGUACCACAUAACAUUUAAAACUUACAAUAUUGUGUUUAAUUCAUGAACACUUUUUUGUCUAUCUAUGGAGACUUGCGUAUAGACUUGAAAUGUAUUGGGAGUUUUCUUUAUCUCUCAUUCUAUACCUAACACCUGUUCCUAAGAAUCCCCAGGUGAUAGCCAUGGUGACUGGCUGGUCUCCUACUGAGUGGCUGGGGUUUUCCAAAAGUGAGGGUUGGUGUUCCAUACCAUACCAUGUGCCCUGUUUGUAUUCCUUCUUUGUCAGCCACGACGAACAUUGUGCAAAAUUAUUGUGAAUUAGUGAAUAUUUAGGUAUUUGUAUUAAAAAAGCGGUAUUUCGUCCAGCUCCAUUAUGACGCCCGUUGUAUACGUACACAAGGGAGAUGAGAAUGACAGACAGGAAUGGAUUGCAAGUUGUGUGGGCGAAAAGAAUGGCUGGUUGACCUGUCUGGCUCCUCUCUGGUGGUGAAAGCAAGUGACGGCAAGAUGGUGAUGGUGACCCUGCCCAACCCCCUCCAGGAAAACUUGGAGGAUGUGAUUGAGGUGCAGGGUGUGGGUCAGGGGCAGAAGGUGACGUGCCAGAGUUACGUCACGUUCCCCCAAAUGCAGGCCGGCAAGUUUGACAAGGGUUACUACCUCUACGCAGACAAAACCUAACCAACCAGCUUAACCUGAGUCGCCCCUGGAACCGCCCCACCACAGAGGAGGAGGAGGAGGAGGAGGAGACAGUCAUGGAUGAAGGGACGUCACAGAUCAUGCACAUUUGCUUCCAUAUUGGGUCGCGGUGGAAACUGGCGUACAGCUUCUGUGCCUGAGCCUGCUGUGGACGCAUUCCCAGCCCCCAAACUGAACGGUCAACCUGCCGCCAAUCUCAACUUCUACCAGAACAGCUUGGACAUGGCUGGCCAGGACAACCACCGCAACACAGACAUGCAUGCACCUGAUAUGGACAUGAAAAUGGAGGGACAGGAGUCCCACUUGAUGGUGUCCGACAGUGAUGCCUCAGUGCAGGAGGGGGAACGGCAGGCAGAGACCCGCAAGUGCCCCUGGGAGAAGCCUGGAGUGGCAAGUGUGUUGCAACCUUUCAAUUAAUGUGUGGUGGCAGGCAUCAAGGUGAAGGUCAACAGAAAGAAGGUGCCAGGAGCCAAGAACUUCAAGAUCCGCAGGUACGUGCAGCCCAAGAAUGCCGUCGUGUGCCUGAAUGAGCUGCGGCCGGGCGUCACCUACACCACGGAACAGGAGGGAGGCGUUUGCCAGCCAUUUUGCAUAUCUGUCGAGGUACCUGGUGCGGUUGACGGGCAGAAGUACCGAGGGUUUGGAUCUUCAAAGCAGCUGGCCAAGCAGGCGGCGGCUGAGGCGGCGCUGAUUGGCUUCUUGAAGCCGCCUGUCACCACACCAGAGAACAGACAAGACCCCCUGGGCCACCCUGGGGCUGACGGGCUGGCUCAGGAAGGCUUUCAUACCUGCAAUGUCAGAGCUACUCAGUCCUUAACACACUGCUACUUAACACUGCAGAGCUGUGGGUCCCACCACCACCUACUGCCCUGCACUGCUGCAGUCUGACUAGUCAAGGCUCAUGUGGGGCAUUCAGCCCUCUUAUAUUUUAAGGCUCAAUUUAGAAAACUCUAAAAUCUCCAUUAUCAACAUUCUAACAAAUCAUCAGUGAAAUUAACAUUAACACAAUCUGUAACUGCCAUGAGGCCACGGAGGAGUGUGGGGCCUCCCCACACUCCGUCUCUCCCUCCCUCCCUCCCUGGCGUGCACAAUCCUCACCAGGGGGGAUGGCGGCCCCACAGCGGCCGUCAAGGAGGAGAGUCCCCAGGCAGCUGCCUUCACGGAGGCCAUCUGUGCCCACCUGGGAGGCCGUGCCCCCAAUAAACACCCUGGCUGUGGAUCCCAAGGUGGGUGUGACUUGGGAUUGGCUGCUAGGGAACUUGGGAAAGGGACAGGGAUGGCUAGCAGAUAACUGUGGUUCAGGGUGUGGUGGUGGUGCUGCUGCUGCUGCUGCAUGGCAGGUGUGUGGCACAGGCACGACAGGUGAAGGUGUAGUCGCUGGGUGGUGUGACCGUUGGUGUGCUUGGCUCAUGGCUGGGAGGGUGUGGGGAGGGUCUUCCUUCUGUUGUGUUGCUGAAGGAAGAACCGAAUACACUGAGAGUGAAUGAAGAGCACUGACUCGAUUUCUGACCAUGACUGUAUGUACUCUCCCAUAGCAUUACAUUGUAUACUGAAAUGGGUUUGCCUGGUUGAACAUGUAGCACCGUACCACAACCAUUACACUCUGCCAUGACUGAGUCUGUCUAUGCUAGUCCUCAAAGUAUUGUGUGGCACUUUUUAAGCUAAUUUGCACUAUUGUUAUGGAAAGUCCUAACCUCUCAGGCAUAGUGUGUAGUUUGGGGACACUUGGUUCAUUCUACAUGGCAUGCUACUGAAAAACUGAAGUAAACAUGGAAAUUUUAAACCAGGGUGGUGUUCCUUGCCUCUGUUGGUGGUGUUGGAGUGGCCUGUGGAGUCAAAGUUGGUGUAGUCAUGUAAAGUCCUGCACUAUCUCUUGUCUGUGUGGUGUGCAGGUGAAUGGAUAAGGAAAGGUGUGGUAAUAGUGGGGAUCAGAACCUUGGCAGCAGGAUUUGGUUAUAUUAAAUGUUACGUGAAGAAAUUGAAGUGAAAUAAAGGAAAUUAGAUCAUGUUAGGUCAAGCAUUGUCACAGUUAAAGUGAAGAGAGAAAUUUCCUUUGUUUUUCCAGGUAUUUAAAGACAGGUGCAUAGAUACUCCUGGGAAUGAAAGGAAAAAUUGAGAAAUGGAGGAGGAGAAAAACCAAGUCAAUUGUUUUUUUUUUUAUUUUUAUGUAUGAGUGACACUGGCCAAGGGCAACAAAAAUACAAUAAAAAAAUAUGGCCACUGAAAUGCCAGUCCCAUAAAAGGGUCAAAGCAGUGGUCAAAAAUUGAUGAAUAAGUGUGUUGAAACCUCCCUCUUGAAGGAAUUCAAGUCAUAGGAAGGUGGAAAUACAGAAGCAGGCAGGGAGUUCCAGAGUUUACCAGAGAAAGGGAUGAAUGAUUGAGAAUACUCUUGCAUUAGAGAGGUGGACAGAAUAGGGGUGAGAGAAAGAAGAAAAUCUUGUGCAGCGAGGCCAUGGGAGGAGGGGAGGCAUGCAGUUAGCAAGAUCAGAAGAGCAGUUAGCAUGAAAAUAGCGGUAGAAGACAGCUAGAUAUGCAACAUUGCGGCGGUGAGAGAGAGGCUGAAGACACUCAGUUAUGUGUGUGUGUGUGUGUGUGUGUGUGUGUGUGUGUGUGUGCUGAUGCGGCUGAGAAGGUUGCCUUAUGAUAAUUAUUGACAAAUGAAGGUAAUGGAUGCGCAUGUCAUUAAUACUUUUUUAUGUGUGUGUGUAUGUGUGUGUGUUAUGUAUACACACAAACACACACACAUGCACAAAGAGAAGUAAAAGACACGCAUCCUUUACCUUCAACAACUCUCAAAGAUUUCUUACAAUAAUAAGUCAUCAUUCAUUGUAUCCUUUUUUGUUGGCCACAAGAUUAUCAUACAAAUUUUCCAUAGACAUCUGCAAAUUGGUACCUCUAGCUGUUAUUAAAUAUGAUAUUAAGUUUGAUAAAUGUAUUGAUUUCAUUAUACAUGAAAGUUGUUGAUUGCAAAAAAAAAAUAAUAACCAAAAUA